GCCUUCGUGGUGUAAUGGUAGCACACUUGGCGUAUAUCCAAGAUGUCCAGGUUCAAAUUCCGGCGAGGACA
This 71-nucleotide transfer RNA is filed under the name Stegodyphus mimosarum. It matches the Rfam family "tRNA". From Rfam's summary of the family: Transfer RNA (tRNA) molecules are approximately 80 nucleotides in length. Their secondary structure includes four short double-helical elements and three loops (D, anti-codon, and T loops). Further hydrogen bonds mediate the characteristic L-shaped molecular structure. tRNAs have two regions of fundamental functional importance: the anti-codon, which is responsible for specific mRNA codon recognition, and the 3' end, to which the tRNAs corresponding amino acid is attached (by aminoacyl-tRNA synthetases). tRNAs cope with the degeneracy of the genetic code in two manners: having more than one tRNA (with a specific anti-codon) for a particular amino acid; and 'wobble' base-pairing, i.e. permitting non-standard base-pairing at the 3rd anti-codon position. The record is from Rfam by way of RNAcentral. Lineage: Eukaryota; Metazoa; Arthropoda; Arachnida; Araneae; Eresidae.